AUUGAACGCUGGCGGAAUGCUUUACACAUGCAAGUCGAACGGCAGCACGGGUGCUUAGGCACCUGGUGGCGAGUGGCGAACGGGUGAGUAAUGCACCGGAACGUAUCCAAUAAUGGGGGAUAACGCACCGAAAGGUGUGCUAAUACCGCAUACGCCCUGAGGGGGAAAGCGGGGGAUCGUAAGACCUCGCGUUAAUGGAGCGGCCGAUGCCGGAUUAGCUAGUUGGUGAGGUAAAGGCUCACCAAGGCGACGAUCCGUAGCUGGUCUGAGAGGACGACCAGCCACACUGGAACUGAGACACGGUCCAGACUCCUACGGGAGGCAGCAGUGGGGAAUUUUGGACAAUGGGCGCAAGCCUGAUCCAGCCAUUCCGCGUGAGUGAAGAAGGCCUGGUGUAAGA
RNAcentral lists this ribosomal RNA (400 nucleotides) under uncultured bacterium. RNAcentral describes it as "bacterial SSU rRNA". It matches the Rfam family "Bacterial small subunit ribosomal RNA", at positions 29 to 430 of the family's 1533-position model. The record is from RNAcentral.